This 1185-nucleotide long non-coding RNA is filed under the name Gossypium barbadense (sea-island cotton). RNAcentral describes it as "long non-coding RNA (GBAR_LNC001772)". The record is from RNAcentral. Lineage: Eukaryota; Viridiplantae; Streptophyta; Magnoliopsida; Malvales; Malvaceae.
UUCCGGCCAAUGGCCGGUCACCGGUCCAAUCGCCGGACCACCGUCGCCGUCGGUGGCCGAAAAAGGUAAAAUUUUAUUUUUUUAUAUUAUAUUUUUAUAUGUAUUUAUUAAAUAUAUGUUGAUAGAUAAAAAAAUAGGUUCAAAAAAUGAAAAGGAAAUAAAAUAAAUCACCUUUGGCCUUCCGUUUAGGCUUUUGGUGUUUGGUUCUCUGAUUUGUGAAGGUUCUUCUACUUUUACACCACUAGAGUCGCUUGUUUUCCUUCUGUUUUAUAUAUAUUGGUUGCUGAAAUUUGGCUUUUUUAUUAAGAUUUGCCGAAAAAUAAUCCCUACAUUUGAUGUUUUGAUGGCUUUUUAUAGCCUUUACAUGCAUUUUUAUUAAUAUUACUUUACUGUAUUCUUCUUGCAGGAGCAGUUGAGCGGUGGAGGUGACCGGUGGUGCAGGGAAUGGUGCUGUUAGUUGGUGUCAGGGACAAGUGUGGGGUAGGUGGUUCGGCUAAGGGUGAUUAGGGUUAGGGUGGUUAGGGUAUUGGGCUUGUAUGUUGGGUUUGGGUAUUAGGUUGGUAUUGGGCUGAGGGUGGAUUAGAUGGUUUAAGGGGUUUGGGUUGUAAAAAGGUUUAUGUUCGGGCCCGGGCAAUUUGGGCUUUUACAAUUGUAAGAGAAAAACAUACAGUUGCUUCACCUAAUCACGUUGUAAAAGAAACAGCUAAGAAUGAAACAAGAGUGAGACGUAUGAAAAAAUGGGAGAUUAGUAGAUCCUGGGCCAUUCUAUUAUAGAAAAUAGAUGACCUUCAUUUCUUUCUCUAGCCAAGCUACUCCCUGAUGUCUCAUGGAAAAAGAAAAUGUUUCAGAAAUAAGAAAGAUUGUUUCAAAUGCAAGAGCUUGUUUUAAACGAGUUGUCUUUAAUUGGAUUCAAUUGUUGGUGGUUUCUAGGAUUUUGUUUGGAGACGAAGGAAAGUGGGAGAUGACUGGAAUUUGUUUUAUCCUAUCUUUUAACUCUUUAGCUUUUAUAUCAUGAUAUGUCUCAACCAAAUAUCAAAUUAUACCUAGAUUGAGAUUUCAUUGUAGGAUGAUUGUUUAUCGUUCAAAAAAGAUUGCAAUUUGUGUACCAGUGGGGAAAAAUCAUUGUUUGUUGUAUAAUAUAAAGAAGUGAAAAUUUUUGUUGUAAAUGAAUGUGAACUAAGCAUG